Long non-coding RNA from Nycticebus coucang (slow loris), 2008 nucleotides. RefSeq lists it as uncharacterized. NCBI's taxonomy places the organism in Eukaryota, Metazoa, Chordata, Mammalia, Primates, Lorisidae. The transcript has 5 exons. The record is from RefSeq and is a predicted model, not a curated record.
CAACAGUGAUCCUUGAGACAUGGGACUUGGGCAAGUCAACUUUUUUUUUUCUCUUCAAUAAGAACAUUCUAAGAACUAGGGCUUCCACUGGGAUUUCCUGAAGAUAAUGUGUGGUGGUGAAGUUAAUGAUGUAUUAAAACUGCUACAUAAAAAUGUCACAACUUUGAAGACAGUGCAAACAGGAAGAUCUUCAGAGAAAGGUCACCAGUUAUCAGAAAACUUAUCUGGAAAUGAAGCCCCAACUAAGCAAGAAAUUAGUCUGCUGAGGAUUACAUAAAAAUUAUUCUUUCUCAUUGUUCUUUUUGACAUCUGAGAUGCAUAAUUUGAAUCUAACAAAAAAGCAUGCAAAGGCAGAGUAUCAUUAUGACUCCAGCAGACAUAUAUAAACUGAAGACUAGGUGGAGCAUAACUAAGGAGGUAUAUGUGUAAAAUAUGUACUUAAUCUUGAACAAAGGAAAAAAAAAUCAGAUAGUCUCUGAGAAUCAUACCCAUAUCCAGUGAAAAGAAAAGGAAAAGGCACUUGGCAGAAUACUGGGAAAGCAGAGUCCUUUUCAUCAGGAAAACGAAGCUUUUCUAGAAGCUCUAGCUUUUCCAGAAGCACCUCCUCUUAUGCCUCAUUGAUCAUAAUUCAGUUGCAUGAGCAGUCUUCCCUCAGGGGAAACUGGUAAACUGUCUUUUUCAAAUAGUGCUGCCUCAGGAUGGAGUUCAAGAUGGCAUACUAGAGACAUCUCCUCACCAGCCUCUCUUGGGAAGAUCCAGUCCCAUGAGAUGAAUGCUAUUGUCCUCAUUUUACAGAAGAGGAAACUGAAGCUCAGAGAAGGAAAUGAAUCCAGGAGCUGCGUAAGCCUAUCUGACACGAGGAGCAUGGGAUGCCUUGGCUCCUCAAGUGGGACCUUGAACCACAGAAAUAGAAAGCUCGUGAUGUUCUCAAGCACACACUGCCUCCAAGGUCCUGUGCUGGCUUCUACCACUACCUCCUGUGGUGUAACCCUGUGAUGUCCUUGAAACACUCCUACUAUAGAUGAGGUAGAAGAAUGUGAAGCCCAGAGAUGCCACGUAGCCUUGUUUCCCUGCAGCAGCGAGGCCAGUCUGUCUCCAGAGUGCUGGGAAUCAACUCAGAAAGGAUGACUCUGUGGUACGACUGCAGCCAAGCCUGUGUCAUACCAAGUGCCUCUCCCUGAGCACUUCCAGGGAGAAAACUUCAUUUCCCUCCCCCCAGACAAUGCAGUCUUUUGGAGUCCUCAGCAGGAUUGGUACUGCUUCCUAGAAAGCACAUUGGAAACCUGUAGGCCUAUUGUUUGUUGUCAUUGAAGGCACAGUGUCUUGUACUUAGUAGGUGGGGUUUGUGGAGGAGGGUGUUAAGUGGGACUCUCUAAUAUCCUAGAGCAGUGGUUCUCAACCUGUGGGUGGCCACCCCUUUGUAACAAUGAAAAUACAUCUGCAUAUCAAAUAUUUACAUUAUGAUUCAUAACAGUAGCAAAAUUACAGUUAUGAAGUAGCAACAAAAAUAAUUUUAUUUUGGGGGGGUCACCACAACAUGAGGAGCUGUAUUAAAGGGUCACGGCAUUAGGAGGCAUUAGGAAGGUCGAGAACCAUUGCCCUACCGAGUCCCAUGCUCUGAAAUGUCCUUGUUCCUGCAAGACUUCCAGAUGUCAUUCAGAUUUUCUUGCAAGUGCAAACACCGUUUAUACUUACCCAUGUUUUGAACUUAACUCUUACAUACCAAGUAUAAAAUAUUUUCCCCAAGGUUUCCUUAUUUUCUUAUUUUCUAGGAUUGCAGCUACUAGGUAAAUGUAAGAAAACUGUACUUCAUUAUUUGUUUGUUUAGAACUUUACCAAGAGUCUUUUAUGGACCUAGCCUGACACUGAAAAACCCAUUGCUUGUAGCCAUUCAAUUCUCAUCACGGUGUUUGAGCUGCUGGCACCAUGUACCUGUACCAGGGCAUUGUCAGUUCCUGAGUUCACGCCAGUGCACCGUGUGUUAAUGAUGUUUUCUAGUGAAGUCAUU